Molecule: ribosomal RNA, 403 nt
Filed under: Eutrombicula sp.
Lineage: Eukaryota; Metazoa; Arthropoda; Arachnida; Trombidiformes; Trombiculidae
Description: SSU rRNA
Rfam family: Eukaryotic small subunit ribosomal RNA
Source: RNAcentral
GCUCGUAGUUGGAUCUCAGCUCACGCUAAGUGGUCCACCUAAUGGUGGUUACUACUUAGCUGAGCAUUUUACAGAUUUGUCUCUUGAUGCUCUUCACCGAGUGUCAAGAGUGGUCUGUACGUUUACUUUGAAAAAAUUAGAGUGCUUAAAGCAGGCAACUCGCCCGAAUAAUCUUGCAUGGAAUAAUGGAAUAGGACCUUGGUUCUAUUUUGUUGGUCUCCGGAAUCUGAGGUAAUGAUUAAGAGGGACAGACGGGGGCAUUCGUAUUGCGCCGCUAGAGGUGAAAUUCUUGGACCGGCGCAAGACGAACUACAGCGAAAGCAUUUGCCAAGAAUGUUUUCAUUAAUCAAGAACGAAAGUUAGAGGUUCGAAGGCGAUCAGAUACCGCCCUAGUUCUAACCAU